RNAcentral lists this ribosomal RNA (420 nucleotides) under bacterium m8. RNAcentral's name for it is "bacterial SSU rRNA". It matches the Rfam family "Bacterial small subunit ribosomal RNA", at positions 1 to 430 of the family's 1533-position model. The record is from RNAcentral.
UGAGUUUGAUCAUGGCUCAAAUUGAACGCUGGCGGCAGGCUUAACACAUGCAAGUCGAGCGGGGGAAGGUAGCUUGCUACCGGACCUAGCGGCGGACGGGUGAGUAAUGCUUAGGAAUCUGCCUAUUAGUGGGGGACAACAUCUCGAAAGGGAUGCUAAUACCGCAUACGUCCUACGGGAGAAAGCAGGGGAUCUUCGGACCUUGCGCUAAUAGAUGAGCCUAAGUCGGAUUAGCUAGUUGGUGGGGUAAAGGCCUACCAAGGCGACGAUCUGUAGCGGGUCUGAGAGGAUGAUCCGCCACACUGGGACUGAGACACGGCCCAGACUCCUACGGGAGGCAGCAGUGGGGAAUAUUGGACAAUGGGGGGAACCCUGAUCCAGCCAUGCCGCGUGUGUGAAGAAGGCCUUAUGGUUGUAAAG